This 460-nucleotide ribosomal RNA is filed under the name uncultured bacterium. RNAcentral describes it as "bacterial SSU rRNA". It matches the Rfam family "Bacterial small subunit ribosomal RNA", at positions 335 to 788 of the family's 1533-position model. The record is from RNAcentral.
ACUCCUACGGGAGGCAGCAGUGGGGAAUAUUGCGCAAUGGGGGAAACCCUGACGCAGCAACGCCGCGUGUGUGAAGAAGGCUCUCGGGUCGUAAAGCACUGUCGAGAGGAACGAGCCGGCUGUCUUUAAUAGAGGCAGUCCCGACGGUACCUCUUGAGGAAGCACCGGCUAACUCCGUGCCAGCAGCCGCGGUAAUACGGAGGGUGCAAGCGUUGUUCGGAAUUAUUGGGCGUAAAGCGCGCGCAGGCGGGUCUCUAAGUCUGAUGUGAAAUCCCUCGGCUCAACCGAGGACGUGCAUUGGAUACUGGAGACCUUGAGUCCUGGAGAGGGAAGCGGAAUUCCCAGUGUAGAGGUGAAAUUCGUAGAUAUUGGGAGGAACACCGGUGGCGAAGGCGGCUUCCUGGACAGUGACUGACGCUGAGGCACGAAAGCGUGGGGAGCAAACAGGAUUAGAUACCCU